GGGCCCGCACAAGCGGUGGAGCAUGUGGUUUAAUUCGAUGAUACGCGAGGAACCUUACCAGGGCUUAAAUGUAGUGGGACAGGUCUAGAGAUAGACCCUUCUUCGGACUCAUUACAAGGUGCUGCAUGGUUGUCGUCAGCUCGUGCCGUGAGGUGUCAGGUUAAGUCCUAUAACGAGCGCAACCCCUAUCGUUAGUUGCCAGCGGGUAAUGCCGGGAACUCUAGCGAAACUGCCGGUGCAAACCGUGAGGAAGGUGGGGGAUGACGUCAAAUCAUCACGGCCCUUACGUCCUGGGCUACACACGUGCUACAAUGGUCGGUACAGAGAGCAGCCACUACGCGAGUAG
Molecule: ribosomal RNA, 346 nt
Filed under: uncultured bacterium
Lineage: Bacteria
Description: bacterial SSU rRNA
Rfam family: Bacterial small subunit ribosomal RNA
Source: RNAcentral